CUACAUUGGUUUCAACCCAGGUCUGAACUGUAUUUCAAUAUUUGUAACUCUCAACACUCUGACCUUAACCUUCAUUCAUCCCUAAUAGUUUGCUUUUCACCCCACGACUUGAGGCUCAAUGUCUAUCUUCUUUCUGCUUUACAGCCAAGACUAAUUUAAUAACAGAAUCCCCCUACCAAUGAAAAUGGCUGUGGAGUCCGUUUGUCUCCUCAAAGUUUGUGUCCUAUCUACUGGUACUAUCUACUCUUAUGCAAUAAAGAAAUAUGACUUUCUCUUUGCAUUCUGUCUCAGCAAUAAAAACAAACAACAAAGCCAGGAGCUUGAAACACACCUGAUCACUGUCUCAAUGGAGACCAAAGAAUGCCAUUCUAAAUGCAGUUAUAAAUCUAGCAAAAACCCAAUCAACAAGUCUUCAUAUCCACAACCAACCAAAGCAGCAAGUCAAAGACUGUUAGAAACUCAACAACCAACCAAAGCAGCAAGUCAAAGACUGUUAGAAACUCAACAACCAACCAAAGCAGCAAGUCA
This is a non-coding RNA of Biomphalaria pfeifferi, 528 nucleotides long. NCBI's taxonomy places the organism in Eukaryota, Metazoa, Mollusca, Gastropoda, Planorbidae. The record is from the annotation of a GenBank genome assembly.